AGAGAUAACUCGGGAAACUCGAGCUAAUACUUUAUACGCCUUCGGGGAAAGCUUUAUGCGCUAUUGGAUGGGCCCGCGUUAGAUUAGUUUGUUGGUGAGGUAACGGCUCACCAAGGCUACGAUCUAUAGCUGGUCUGAGAGGAUGAUCAGCCACACUGGGACUGAGACACGGCCCAGACUCCUACGGGAGGCAGCAGUGGGGAAUAUUGGACAAUGGGGGCAACCCUGAUCCANNGAUGCCGCGUGAGUGAUGAAGGCCCUAGGGUNGUAAAGCUCUUUUGUCAGGGAANAUAAUGA
RNAcentral lists this ribosomal RNA (297 nucleotides) under uncultured Alphaproteobacteria bacterium. RNAcentral describes it as "partial 16S ribosomal RNA". It matches the Rfam family "Bacterial small subunit ribosomal RNA", at positions 139 to 454 of the family's 1533-position model. Lineage: Bacteria; Pseudomonadati; Pseudomonadota; Alphaproteobacteria. The record is from RNAcentral.